AGAAUCUUUCGCAAUGCCCGAAAGGGUGACGAAGCGACGCCGCGUGUGGGAAGAAGGCCUUCGGGUUGUAAACCACUGUCGGGAGUUAAGAAAUGUAAGGAUGUUAAUAGCGUCCUUACUUGACUAAGGCUCCGGAGGAAGCCACGGCUAACUCUGUGCCAGCAGCCGCGGUAAUACAGAGGCGGCAAGCGUUGUUCGGAAUUAUUGGGCGUAAAGAGCACGUAGGCGGCCUUGAAAGUCAGUUGUGAAAGCCUUCUGCUUAACGGAAGAACAGCAUCUGAUACUACAGGGCUUGAGUGCGGGAGGGGAGAGUGGAACUUCUGGUGGAGCGGUGAAAUGCGUAGAUAUCAGAAGGAACGUCGGCGGCGAAAGCGGCUCUCUGGCUCGUAACUGACGCUGAGUGUGCGAAAGCUAGGGGAUCAAACGGGAUUAGAUACCCCGGUAGUCCUAGCCGUAAACGAUGGGCACUAAGUAGAGGGGUUUUGAUUAUCUCUCUGCCGGAGCUAACGCAUUAAGUGCCCCGCCUGGGAAGUACGGCCGCAAGGCUAAAACUCAAAAGAAUUGACGGGGGCUCGCACAAGCGGUGGAGCAUGUGGCUUAAUUCGACGCAACGCGAAGAACCUUACCGGGGUUUGACAUGGUAGAAGUAGGAACCAGAAACGGUAACGAACGGUAUCCAGUCCGUAACUAUCACAGGUGUUGCAUGGCUG
RNAcentral lists this ribosomal RNA (710 nucleotides) under uncultured anaerobic ammonium-oxidizing bacterium. Its description in RNAcentral is "bacterial SSU rRNA". It matches the Rfam family "Bacterial small subunit ribosomal RNA", at positions 358 to 1051 of the family's 1533-position model. The record is from RNAcentral.